RNAcentral lists this small RNA (100 nucleotides) under Salmonella enterica. Its description in RNAcentral is "partial RtT sRNA". It matches the Rfam family "RtT RNA", at positions 1 to 98 of the family's 130-position model. Rfam says of the family: This family represents a bacterial cis-regulatory element known as RtT RNA. The record is from RNAcentral. Lineage: Bacteria; Pseudomonadati; Pseudomonadota; Gammaproteobacteria; Enterobacterales; Enterobacteriaceae.
GUCUGCACUUGUCGGGGAAGGGUGAGAACCCUCGAUUAAGGUUCGACUCGAGCGAAAGCGAGAGAACGUUGCCAACGGCAACGGCCCGUAGGGUGAGGAG